UUCCGUUGCCGUCGCCUCCGUUACUAUACGUUGGAACCCCAUCCGAGGUUAACUUUUCUUCCUAUUUGGCGAUUUUGCCCUUCGCCCCAAUCAGUCAACGUUGUCCGUGAGGAAUCGUGGUUCUGUUUCUCUGCGACAAUGCAAGUUGGAGACUUGGAGCGGAGCAGAGGCGACGCUUGCCGGCGAUGGCUAGUUCCGUCGUCGACGCCGCGUGUGCCACUACCGCCCGACGGCCCGACCUGCGGAUAACGCCAUCAUCCUCCAGGCGUUCGUGUCAGCAUACACUGAUCCACGUCGAGCUUCUGCACGUCCUCGCCGUACGCUGUCAGGUGCCUCCGCCGGCGGCGGCGAUGGCUGCGAACUUGGCUCGGAGCUGCGCCCUUCCUUCAUCCCCCGUGACAGCCUGGACACGGUACCCUCCGCGGGGAGCGUGCCGGUCCUCAUCCGCGCACAGCAAGGAGCGCAGCAGACGCAAAACACAAGACAAGGCAGAGGAACCAUGGCCGGGCCAUCGUGGCCAUCGCAGAGCUACGCGAGACUGCUGGUUCGAACAUUGACAAGAAGAUGGAGGCUGAUCUCAAGGAUAGCACAGAGCUUGAGCAGAGGAUGAGAUGAAGAGAACCUGAGAGCAAAAAUGACAUUUUUAAUAAUGGAGUAGGCAUUGAGGUGCAACAAGGAGACAGUCUGACAUUUCCAGUGGCAGAGUUCAAUGUUUCGUAUUCUCUUCACUUAAAAUUGUAGAUCUUUUUAGACCAUGUUUAGUUACCCCCAAAUUCCCAACUUUGUCACUAUGCAAAAAGAAGAUUCAUCAUCACAUCAAACUUGCGGUA
Molecule: long non-coding RNA, 830 nt
Organism: Setaria italica (foxtail millet)
Lineage: Eukaryota; Viridiplantae; Streptophyta; Magnoliopsida; Poales; Poaceae
Exons: 2
Source: RefSeq, a predicted model, not a curated record